RNAcentral lists this non-coding RNA (148 nucleotides) under Homo sapiens (human). The record is from Rfam by way of RNAcentral. Lineage: Eukaryota; Metazoa; Chordata; Mammalia; Primates; Hominidae.
GCUGGGCGUGGUGGCGCGCGCCUGUAAUCCCAGCUACUCGGGAGGCUGAGGCAGGAGAAUCGCUUGAACCUGGGAGGUGGAGGUCGCAGUGAGCCAAGAUCAUGCCACUGCACUCCAGCCUGGGCGACAGAGAGAGACUCUGUCUCAA